GACGAACGCUGGCGGCGUGCUUAACACAUGCAAGUCGAACGGAAAGGCCCUGCUUUUGUGGGGUGCUCGAGUGGCGAACGGGUGAGUAACACGUAAGUAACCUGCCCUUGACUUUGGGAUAACUUCAGGAAACUUGGGCUAAUACGGGAUAGGAGCUCCUGCUGCAUGGUGGGGGUUGGAAAGUUUCGGCGGUUGGGGAUGGACUCGCGGCUUAUCAGCUUGUUGGUGGGGUAGUGGCUUACCAAGGCUUUGACGGGUAGCCGGCCUGAGAGGGUGAGCGGCCACAUUGGGACUGGGAUACGGCCCAGACUAGUACGCGAGGCAGCAGUGGGGAAUAUUGCACAAUGGGCGGAAGCCUGAUGCAGCAACGCCGCGUGCGGGAUGACGGCCUUCGGGUUGUAAACCGCUUUCGCCUGUGACGAAGCGUGAGUGACGGUAAUGGGUAAAGAAGCACCGGCUAACUACGUG
RNAcentral lists this ribosomal RNA (468 nucleotides) under uncultured bacterium. RNAcentral's name for it is "partial 16S ribosomal RNA". It matches the Rfam family "Bacterial small subunit ribosomal RNA", at positions 28 to 507 of the family's 1533-position model. The record is from RNAcentral.